This 497-nucleotide ribosomal RNA is filed under the name uncultured bacterium. RNAcentral describes it as "partial 16S ribosomal RNA". It matches the Rfam family "Bacterial small subunit ribosomal RNA", at positions 28 to 507 of the family's 1533-position model. The record is from RNAcentral.
GAUGAACGCUGGCGGCGUGCCUAAUACAUGCAAGUCGAGCGAACAGACGAGGAGCUUGCUCCUCUGACGUUAGCGGCGGACGGGUGAGUAACACGUGGAUAACCUACCUAUAAGACUGGGAUAACUUCGGGAAACCGGAGCUAAUACCGGAUAAUAUAUUGAACCGCAUGGUUCAAUAGUGAAAGACGGUUUUGCUGUCACUUAUAGAUGGAUCCGCGCCGCAUUAGCUAGUUGGUAAGGUAACGGCUUACCAAGGCAACGAUGCGUAGCCGACCUGAGAGGAUGAUCAGCAACACUAGAACUGAGACACGGUCCAGACUCCUACGGGAGGCAGCAGUAGGGAAUCUUCCGCAAUGGGCGAAAGCUUGACGGAGCAAAGCCGCGUGAGUGAUGAAGGUCUUCGGAUCGUAAAACUCUGUUAUUAGGGAAGAACAAAUGUGUAAGUAACUAUGCACGUCUUGACGGUACCUAAUCAGAAAGCCACGGCUAACUACGUG